GAUGAACGCUGGCGGCGUGCCUAAUACAUGCAAGUCGAGCGAACGGACGAGAAGCUUGCUUCUCUGAUGUUAGCGGCGGACGGGUGAGUAACACGUGGAUAACCUACCUAUAAGACUGGGAUAACUUCGGGAAACCGGAGCUAAUACCGGAUAAUAUUUUGAACCGCAUGGUUCAAAAGUGAAAGACGGUCUUGCUGUCACUUAUAGAUGGAUCCGCGCUGCAUUAGCUAGUUGGUAAGGUAACGGCUUACCAAGGCAACGAUGCAUAGCCGACCUGAGAGGGUGGUCGGCCACACUGGAACUGAGACACGGUCCAGACUCCUACGGGAGGCAGCAGUAGGGAAUCUUCCGCAAUGGGCGAAAGCCUGACGGAGCAACGCCGCGUGAGUGAUGAAGGUCUUCGGAUCGUAAAACUCUGUUAUUAGGGAAGAACAUAUGUGGAAGUAACUGUGCACAUCUUGACGGUACCUAAUCAGAAAGCCACGGCUAACUACGUG
RNAcentral lists this ribosomal RNA (497 nucleotides) under uncultured bacterium. Its description in RNAcentral is "partial 16S ribosomal RNA". It matches the Rfam family "Bacterial small subunit ribosomal RNA", at positions 28 to 507 of the family's 1533-position model. The record is from RNAcentral.